GGAUGUAGCAUAGUGGUAAAGCAGUUGCUUAGCAUGUACUAGGCCCUGGGUUCCAAUUCCCAGUAGCAUACA
RNAcentral lists this transfer RNA (72 nucleotides) under Marmota monax (woodchuck). Its description in RNAcentral is "tRNA.Ala". The record is from RNAcentral. Lineage: Eukaryota; Metazoa; Chordata; Mammalia; Rodentia; Sciuridae.